UAUAAGUGGGGAAUUGCAGGCAAAUGACAAUAAUUAAGGCAUUGAUCUCUGUAUGACGCCAUUUCAAGGCAAGCGAAAACCAGUUUUGGUUAGGACAUGAAGACUUUUUUUUGUUUGACACCUUUUCAGCUCUCUUUUCAGACUAUUGUGACAGUGACAUUAAAAAAUUACACAACGAGACUUUUUGAUUCAACUUACAAAGUUGCAUAAGCGUUUCGAGAGCAUUUUGGGGGCUGCCUGAAGAAUGGGAAAAUUGGAAAGAUUACUUAUUCUUACUUUGUUCUUUUUAUAAACACAUUAGUGUAUAACCUUACAGUUGUUGGUUGGAAAAUGGAAAAUGGAAAAUGAAGGACCUGAAUCCUAACAGGUAUAAGUGAAUGAAAUCCGUGGAUAUCAGAACUUAAUAGGACUCGUGAAUUUUUCAAUAUCAGUUUCCUUACUUGGUACGAUCCCCUUCACAGUUAGACCAUCAACUUGAAGCUUGAACGUUGACAUGUUCCAUCACUUGCCAUUUUUCACUUCCAAUUCAAUCAUUUGACCAACUAUGUUUAUCUAAUUGUUUGUACAUGAUGAACAGUGUAAAGUCAACAUUUUAGAUCAUCGGGAAAAUUAAGGUUGUUUAUAUUUUUAUUUUAAUUCAGGUUUCACUAUUGGCAUUUUUGACUGCUAAAACCUUUUCAGUGUUAUGCUUUGUCAGUUGGAAGUACACACAAAAUUGUUUAUGAAGAACAGCAUGUACGUAACUUUGACUGGGUUUUCUGCCAGUCAAACACAUUUCCAGUUCCACACAACGUACCGUUCCAGAGUUUCAACAUCUAUUCCAAUUACCAAUCCUUGACUGAACAAUACUAUGAUUUCAAAACGUUAACACAUAGAUCUGAACACAGUGUCUCUACAGAAGUCAGUGUUGGUAAACAAUAAUACAGCCACUAAGACCUGUGCGUAAUUUUGACACCAGCGGUCUUUGCUCGUGCCCAUGUCACGUUACAAGCACCAGUAAACAUCCACAGUGCACCACACAACAUCGACAUUUUUAUCAACAAAGUGAAUCAUAUGUUUUGAUCAAAGAUAAGUAAAAACGUUUGGCAGGAGGAACCGAAUCCAAGUUUAAUAAUAAGGAUGAAAGUAUGCGCAUAAUCAUGACACCAACUUUUUCAGGGGUCUAUUUAUUUCACAGCUCUUCCUAGACUUGUAGUUGCUCAUGGUGUUGGUAAAGACUGUUACCUUAGGGGAUUCCAUUUCAGGUCAAUUUUCAGUCUAUGGAUGCAACACUAAACUUCAAAGGCUCACUGUGAAUUUCGUCACGCGAAAAAUUUAAAAAAACAUUUUCUGUCUUUCUAGUCAUCAAGGCCAAGGUUGUUGGAGUGACAGUUGGCGGUGGCUUCAAACCCAUUAAGUAUGACAUCAAACUGAGCAAGCUGUUCAAGGGCCCAAGAAAGAAUUUUGAUUCCAUCUACACUGCGUCCAGCUCUGCCGCAUGUGGAAUCACUUUGACCAAUGGCGUCAAGUAUCUACUUAUGGGUAUGGAAAAAACCUGAAACUGUUUUCUCCCAUUGGAAAUGAUCUGGGUCCCGCAAAACCUUUAUGAAUGGCACCAUCACAAGGGAUGGAUUUAAGAUUGGAGUGGCCACUAACUUGUCAUCCACUUGAAUGAAUCAACGCUUUGUUCAUGGAUGCUGUUAAUAUAUGGAAAAGCGCUAACUGCUUUAACAAUAUUAGCAUCUAGCAGUCGUUCAAUGUGGUGUAAACCUGUUCGUUUAAAUCCCUGUGCUCACCCUAAGCCGCAGAUCGCACGCUGAAUCUCCUUCCCGUGCGGCGUCAGUGGCCCGACCGAGUGCUGGUGGCCCGACUUCCUGAUGGCUUUGCUGUACCGACAGUUCUUGUGCCCGGGAAAGGGGGUUUACCUCUCUCAAACAGGGUUUCAUGGACUCCAAAGGCCGUUGACUCCAAAUGAAAAAUAAAUGAAUAAAAUCAA
Phyllopteryx taeniolatus (common seadragon) is the source of this 1975-nucleotide long non-coding RNA. RefSeq lists it as uncharacterized. NCBI's taxonomy places the organism in Eukaryota, Metazoa, Chordata, Actinopteri, Syngnathiformes, Syngnathidae. The record is from RefSeq and is a predicted model, not a curated record. The transcript is spliced from 2 exons.